RNAcentral lists this ribosomal RNA (769 nucleotides) under uncultured Bacillota bacterium. RNAcentral describes it as "bacterial SSU rRNA". It matches the Rfam family "Bacterial small subunit ribosomal RNA", at positions 111 to 896 of the family's 1533-position model. Lineage: Bacteria; Bacillati; Bacillota. The record is from RNAcentral.
UAACACGUAGGUAACCUACCCUUGAGUGGGGAAUAACUCCGCGAAAGCGGAGCUAAUACCGCAUACGAUCGUGUGCCCACGGGCAUGCGAGGAAAGUCGCAAGGCGCUCGAGGAUGGGCCUGCGUCCGAUUAGCUUGUUGGUGAGGUAAUGGCCCACCAAGGCUACGAUCGGUAGCUGGUCUGAGAGGAUGAUCAGCCAGACUGGGACUGCGACACGGCCCAGACUCCUACGGGAGGCAGCAGUUAGGAAUCUUGGGCAAUGGGCGAAAGCCUGACCCAGCAACGCCGCGUGGGUGAUGAAGGCCUUCGGGUCGUAAAGCCCUUUUGCACGGGAAGAUAAUGACGGUACCGUGCGAAUAAGCCCCGGCUAACUACGUGCCAGCAGCCGCGGUAAUACGUAGGGGGCGAGCGUUGUCCGGAUUUAUUGGGCGUAAAAGGCUUGUAGGUGGCCACGCCAAGUCGGAUGUGAAAUCUCCCGGCUCAACUGGGAGGGGUCAUUCGAUACUGGCGGGCUCGAGGCCGGUAGGGGGAAGUGGAAUUCCCGGUGUAGUGGUGGAAUGCGUAGAUAUCGGGAGGAACACCAGUGGCGAAGGCGGCUUCCUGGACCGGUUCUGACACUGAGGAGCGAAAGCGUGGGGAGCGAUCCGGAUUAGAUACCCGGGUAGUCCACGCCGUAAACGUUGGGCACUAGGUGUCGGGGGUAUCGACCCCUCCGGUGCCGCAGCUAACGCAUUAAGUGCCCUGCCUGGGGAGUACGGCCGCAAGGCUA